CACUAAACCAAUUUCAUUUUUGAAGUAAAAAGUAGUAUGAAUAACAACAGUCAUAAAAAGCAUAACUUUUCUUUGGUUUGAAAUGUCCUUCUUGGGGGAUUCCCUGUUUUUUCCACAUAAAAACACCCGAAAAUCCGGAUAUUGGACUUUCAUCCUUUUUUAGGGUUAAAUUAACUAUUGAUCACACAUAUCAUACUAUAUGUAAAUCGAGAUAUUGAUCAAAAAGCAUUUUUAUUUUUGGUUUUUAUAGGAAAUUUUACUCUGUUGGCACUUUUUGAAAUUGGCCCUUCUGUGAAAAAAAUC
Molecule: long non-coding RNA, 303 nt
Filed under: Mytilus galloprovincialis (Mediterranean mussel)
Lineage: Eukaryota; Metazoa; Mollusca; Bivalvia; Mytilida; Mytilidae
Source: RNAcentral